This is a long non-coding RNA of Triticum aestivum (bread wheat), 2073 nucleotides long. RefSeq lists it as uncharacterized. The record is from RefSeq and is a predicted model, not a curated record. The transcript has 2 exons. Lineage: Eukaryota; Viridiplantae; Streptophyta; Magnoliopsida; Poales; Poaceae.
GCAAAAGGAGCCGCACAAACGCAAAACGACUCGCACCACUAAUCCUCCCCAUUCCUUCAUCCUGAACAAAACUGCCCGCACGAACCCACGACCUUCGCUGGUCCUCCUCUGCUACCCACGCCUCCCGCAGAUCCUCCGCUCGGCCGCUCCCCGCAGAUCCUCUGCUGCCCCACGGACGCGACCGCGGACUGCCGCCGCCGAUGAUCCCAUCUGAUGGCGGCGCCGACCCAUCCCUGGCGCUGGAUGCGGCGACCUCCGGUAGAGGCGCGCCCAGCCGCGCCUUCCCCAGCACAGUCUCGCCGGGAUGCCUCCGCUCCUCCGGCAGCGCCGCGCCCGUCCGCCGCAGCCCGCCGGCGAGGGCACAAUCGGUGCCGACCUGCACGCGCAAGGGGAGGCGGCAGGAGCAGUCGUGCAAGGGCAGGACCAGCCGUGCGGUCAAUCGAGCGAUCCUUUUUCAUCUUGGCCGCCAUGUCCCCCGCCGUGGACGACGCCCGCUGUGGCGAUCUCCACCCUGGCGACCAGCUCUGCCUCGCCUGCCAAAUCAAAUCUACGAACUAAGGUUGAUUUCUAUGACUUCAGUUCGCUGGGGGUACUGGCAUAACGCUUAUGUUGCAGGCUUCUCCAGAAUGAUUCCUCACAAGAGAUAUCUCAACCAGUCAUAAGUUAGCCUGAAGACAUAUGGUGCAGAUAUUCUUCCUUGGUAUAAGAGAUACUUUCGAGUUUCGACUAAGCACAUGCGCAAUGUUACAUUUGAGUAAGGGAUUACCAUGUUCUCUGAAUUUUCUACCCGACAGAUAUGUUCAACUAUAGUUAGAGUAUUCCGACAAAGGGUUUACCCCCGCUUUAUAUUAUAAAGCAUCCGAAUAUUUAGAGUAUUAUACAUCUCUAAUCUGCAUAUUUGAAACCAACAUGAUAAUGUUCCAUACUUCUUAAGCCAUUUUGGUGCCACCUAUUGUACCAUCAUUUUUUGCUUCAGGUAUUGUCCUUAUUUCCAAACAAUUCCUUUGUCUUCGCUUUCUCUACUCACAUGUGUUUUUUAGUCUUCCUCUCACUCUUUUGAGCUUCUACAGAACUGAUGUCUAACUGCUAUGUUUACCCUUCUGAAUAAUACCCUUAUCAAGUUUUCAGCUUUUAAUGUAAAACCGUAACCAAUUACCGAAAUUUUGGAGUUCUUUUUCACCUUUUCUUGUCCGGUUGUGGAUAAAAAAACUUAUGCUGAAUCAUUACGUCUCCAGACGAGCAGUGCAGAUUUGAGAGUUGGGUUAUUUGUCAAAAGUUUUCCGUUUUAUCCAUACAAUAGAAAAAUUAGUUUUACAUAAUUUGAAUGUGUGCUCACAUGAGCUUGUAAACUUCUCUCAUGUGUCCACACAAGGGCGGAGGGAAGAUUCUUUCUGUGAAGAAACCUAUUUUGUAUGAAGUUGUAGUUGAUUUUAUCGGACUGGGAAGUGAUGGAUGCACCAAGUAGGUGGUCUUUAUUUCUGGGAUUAGAAUUUUCAAAAGGACUGUUUCUUCUCACCUUGAUCUUGUGAUCUAAUGAAACUUAUUCCUGAUUUUGAUCAGGGACACAACAGUGAAUAUGUUUUUGAAUUUCGUGCUGUAGCUAAAUGAACGAUUAUUAGAUAUUGGAGUUGAGUCAAAGCACGGUUUUGAACGAUUAUCAGUGAUUGUCCUAGAUCAAUGGGUGAUUUAUGUGCAAAUGCUACAGUCGAAGACAUGCAGUUGCUUGCCGUCGAUGAAGCGACAUCAACAUGGGUAGCUGAUCCAGUCAUCUGUUAGUCUGUUCGUCUUUCUUCCUUGCACUUUGUUCUUCAGUCAUGUGUUGGGCAUCCUUCCCCAUGCUACUGACUCUAUGGUGUCGCUGGCCCAUGCUUCUGACUCUCCAGACAUAUACUCACUUCUUAGAAAUCCCAUGGCAAUUGCUUUCAUGUGAAUUUUGGUUAGUACUCCGUAUUUAUGAUGCUGCUGGCCUCAUUGCUCUGAAUAUACUACCACACUGCAUGAUAAAAUCAACAAUGACUUUUCUUAAUGCAUGUAAAUUAUCGCUUCUCUGUAAUGUUUGAUGUCAAUUUAUUC